This 200-nucleotide ribosomal RNA is filed under the name uncultured bacterium. Its description in RNAcentral is "partial 16S ribosomal RNA". It matches the Rfam family "Bacterial small subunit ribosomal RNA", at positions 30 to 231 of the family's 1533-position model. The record is from RNAcentral.
AUUGAACGCUGGCGGCAUGCCUUACACAUGCAAGUCGAACGGUAACGCGGGGCAACCUGGCGACGAGUGGCGAACGGGUGAGUAAUACAUCGGAACGUGCCCAGUAGUGGGGGGAUAGCCCGGCGAAAGCCGGAUUAAUACCGCAUACGACCUAUGGGUGAAAGCGGGGGAUCGCAAGACCUCGCGCUAUUGGAGCGGCC